GUUCUUCUCAUGAUGCUAUUCAGCCGACGUGCAACUACCGAGGAGGGGAAGAUGAGCAAGAGCCCUGGAUGUUUACUCCUUGUGCUGAAUCUUCGAACCAAAAUGGGUUGGAGUGCUGCGAGCGCGGACAACUUUGGUCCUGUGCAUUGAGAUUUAUAUCCCCAGCUUGCAAGUCGGUGCCUGGAUGAAUUUAUCAAGGGUUGGCAGUGUUUCAAGAGGCCGUUUGUUGCUAGCAUUGUGAAGAACGUUUAUCCCAUUUCUUUGACUGUACGUAUACAAUAGGUUCCAGACACAAAGUUGGAAUGCAAGCCAUGUUGGCUCAGUAUCAUAUGGUGAAGUUCUAGAUUUUGGUCAAAUUGCUUCUUUGUUGGUGAGAUUUGAACUCUGUACUCAACAAUCUAUGUAUAUGAGCCACGGACUUGACUCAUUGGUGUGUUUUAUUAUAAAAAAUGCACUUAUGGCUUAGAGUCACUAGUUUAGUGAGUUAGUGUAGGAGUUUUGAUAGAAAAAUAAAUAAAUAAAUAAAUAUAACAGAAUGUUAGUUGCAAGAAUGGAUAUCUUGUAGAGUUGUCCUUGAGAAGGGAUUUUAAAUUACAUAUCUUUUUUUAGAUUAGCCAAUAGAAAUUUAUGAUUUUUUAGUAGUAGUCUUAUCUCUAUUAAAUAUUUAAUUGGUCUAUAAUUUAAGUAGAAUUCUUGAUCCAAAACUAAACAAAAAGAAAAACACAUUGAUAGCUAUAGAUAAAUAAAAUGGAAUGGAAAUAAUAGAAGAGAAAAAGAUUAAGAAUAGGGAGAGAAACGAAAAGCAAUAAAGAAUAGUGGAGGAAAAUGAAAUCAAAAGAAGGAGAAGAAGAGAAAGAAGAGAAGAAAGAAAAGGAGAAGAGAGAGAGAAAAAAAAAAUGUAAUGAAAAGUGCAAGAGGUUGCCCAAGAUUAGUGGCAGCCUCUUUGUUGAUAGGAAUCUAGUCGCCUAGAUCCUUGCCUCUCUUGUUUUAAUUGGUUUUUUUGAAUUUGAAUUUGAAUUUGAUGAAUGCCCUAGAUUCCAUCUCUACGUUUUCUUAGUUGUGUUGUAUACAUGAGUAUGUAGUUACAAUAUUUCUUUUGUUCUAUUGAGUGGUUUCCAAUGGAAGUGUAUUUGUUAUUAGAUAUUCAUGAUGAUAAUCCAAUUAGUUUUUUUUCCUUGUUCAAUAAGUGGUCGGUGUAUGGCAGAAGUUCAAAGUAGUGCAGUUGGCUUCUGAGCUCUAAAUUCAAGUGGCAAUGUUUUGUAGAAUUCAAGGUUAUUGUAUUUUUUUCUUCUCUUGCAAUGCAGAGAAGAGAGUUGUGGAUCAAGUGGCAUUGUCAAUGUAGCGAUUUGGUUAAAUGUCAUCAUUGAUUCUAGGUCUGCAAUUAUGUUUGAAAAGCCAUUUUGGUUCUUCUUGUUUUUUUAAUUAUUCUAUUUUCUAAGAUUGGUUGCUGGUUCAAAGUAGUUGUGUUGUAUCAAGGACUAGAGUCAUAUGGAGGUGGAUAUGUGUAGAGCUUCGAAUCUAAAAGAGCAUCAGCGGUGGCAGUAGAUUUGUUUGAUCUGCACAUUGCGAGGCCAAAUCCUAAACUUCCCUAAGCUUAUUAUAUAGAGCAUCUAUUGGGCAUAUGAGGCCUCAUGAAUUCUAGAGUGGCAACAUUGUGGUGGCUUUUACUUCUAUGUUCUGCUAUGUCUUAUUUUUAUUUUUUGUGUUACAAUUGGAUUUGUAUUUUGUUUUUUGUUUUUUGUUUCUUUUCUUUUCUUUUGAAAUACAACAAGAGUUGGUUUUUCUUUUGAUUGUUGUGGUGGCUGUAUGUUUGCAUUUGGCAUUGAUUGCAAGUAGAAUCACAUCAAGUCUAAUUGCAUGCUUUAGUUUGUAUGUUGGCAAUUGAAUAUGGAAAUAUUGGAGGUUGAAAAGUUGCAAUUGAAGUGGCGAUGAAGCUUCAGCUAUGGUUUUUUUCUUUUUUUUCUUUUUCUUUUGUGUUCUCUUCUAGUUUGAAAUUCAAAAAAGUAUAGUGCAAUGAUUUGGUUAUUUGUAGGUUCUACUCCAUUUUGGUACAUGCGGUGGUCAAAUUAUAUUGGCUGCAUGUGUGUUAAGGUCCUUUCCUUAUUGAACUUGUUGAAUUGCAAAGAGACUGCAGUGUCGUGAACUUGAUUAGUCUUACCUUCUUGUAAUUUAGGAGCAAAGGAUUUUUUGUUCUAUCCUUGGGUACAAUUUAUAAAGGUCAAAAGCAACUUGAAGUGCUGCAAGGGAUAGAUGGCAAUUAUUUUGAGUUGCUUCACACUUCUUCAAUUCCUUUGUUAGUAGUUGUGGUCUGUUCAAAUGAGAAGUUGCAACAAUUGUUGUUACUCUAGUGUCACUUUUGUGCAAUUUGGCACCUACUCUUUACCAAAUAUCCUAUAGAGUGAGAAGUAGAUAUAGAUUGAAAUCUAAGGUAGAAUGAAUUAUAGUAGAUGAGGUUGAAAUUAAACAAUCAUAGAUUAGCUUCAAAUGAAGUUAGAUUAGGAUUGAACAAAGUAGGGUUAAAAUAAUUUAGAGCUUGGAUGAGUGGAUGUUUGAUGAAACUUAAUUCAAAGAUAAAAUUUUAAAUAUGAAUAAAGUAUGUAGAUGAAUUGUUAUUCAAGGAUGAAAUCAAGGAUGAAAUUUUUCAAUGGAUGAAUUUUAAUUAAAUAAAGACUGAAUUACAAUAAUAAUAAUAAUAAUAAUAAAUAUCUUAUUAUUGAGUUUUUUAAUUGCAUGAAAAUUGUCAAGUGACUAAUUAUUAGAAGUGUGAUUUGGUACUAGAGAUUUUGCUUGACUUUGUGGAUGAAUUAAGGAGUUUUAAGUGUGAAUUGUUUAAAGUUUAAAUAAGCACUAAAAUUUCUAAGAUUUUCUGUAAUAAAAUGGCUUGUUGUGAACUAUAAUAAACUUCCAACUAGUGGAGGAUUAUUUUAGCUCACACUAUGUCUCUGGAACCACGUGCUCUCAAAUUCAUGUUGUUUCGGUUCGUGAUUACAACCUAACCCUAUGGCGACUUGUGCCAUAGAAUUAGGCUUACGUGUAUAAAAUUUUCACAUUGUAUUCUGGGGAGCAGUGGAUGUCGGUUACUGUAAUGAGCAUACUAUCUUUCUAGGAGAUUGUAAAGUUUGAGUAAUUCGCUAUUUCCUCAGCAUGUGCGGAUUCGGCGAUUCCUCGGAAUUUAACACUGUCACUGAAUUUGCCGAAUGAUGCGGUACGGUAUCCACAUAUCUUCUCCACCGUAGAUGCAGAAAUUCCUUAAGGUACAGAGUGCAGAUCAGAAUUGUACGAUUAUGCUGACUUAAAUUAUCUUGUGGAAGUGGGGUGACCUUACAGACACCUCCUCACGAACUGAAUAGAUACAGACGCGUGGGCUGUGAAUUAUUUAAUGGGAGUAUGUACUAUCAAGGAGACCCUUUGGUGGCAGAUACUGUUAAAACACUCAUCUGGCAGUUGCUCCUCUCAGUCAACCACAUGAAUUCCUGCGAUGUAUGGCACAGGGAAGUGCUUAGGACAUGAGUCCAACUCGUGCUCAAUUAAAUUAGAUAAAGUCUCACAGAUGGUGGUGUAGUUGACCGAAAAGCAACUCUGAAAAUACUACGCUGGGCGUAGUUUGGACUUUCGCGAACAGCACUUGAGGUGUGUGGCUAUUCUUGGGACAGAGAUGAAACCUCCUCUCAGCUCGUUCAUUGGCAAGUCCAGGUUUGUUAUUUUCUCAUCUUGUAAUGUUGUGAUAAGUCGGAGUUUACCAUGAAAAUUAACAGUCAUUUUAGUUUCUGUUAUCCAUUGUGACCUCAAAUUAUGUGGAUGUGAAAUCCACUAGGCGAAGGAUAAUACUGAUUCUAAGCUGACAAUACACCAAGGCAGCGUCUUUGAUUCAUUUGCAUGGAGUGAAGUGGGUUUUUCUGGUGAUAUUAUCUGCUGACAUUCAGCAUAUUUCGUCACACUAACAUUACUGAUAGAUGAUACAAAACGUUGAUAAUUGUUCAUGCAUUUUCAGCCACAAAAAAUUCUAUUUCUGUAGACAUCAAGUCUAAAGAAUAAUUAGUCCUAAUAAAAUGGGUUGAGGAAAUCUUCAUGCGGUAAAGCUGUCCUCAACAUUGGUGAGCAUAUCUGAAGAAUGUCGUUGAUCUAAUGUUUGACAGUCAAGUACUUUUUAUAGUGAAUUUUAAGCUGAAAGAGCGAUUUAUCGAUUUUUUUUGAAAUGUUUGAAAUUUUUGUUUUGGACGUGAAUCUAACACUUUAUUAGGACUUUGAUGUUAUUAUCUUACCCAUGGGUGACAUUUCUUUUCUUUUCUUCACUCUAAGCAACUUAGUAUGCUGCAUUAGUGUGGAUUGGGAAGAGUGCCUGUGCUCUCAAGCGAGGAACAUUAUGAAAAACAAAAUCCGGGGCUUAGGUGAUGAAAAUUGCUCUGAGCUUUCUGCAAGGAAUGUUGGCAUUUGCCCUACAACGACGCUGCUCGGUAAAUGAGGGGCUGCGCCGUACUUACGCUAGUGGUUAUAUCCUAGUUACUUUCAUCAUCUGGUACAAGGCUUGUUUUGCUAAAUUACGAGAGACGUCCUGUGAAUGGAAGUCGAUCUAUUCCCUCCAUGCUAUUCCCUCCAUGCUUCGCUACUGUCGUUAAUCAGAAAGGUUCAAGAGUGAAAGGAUCUCAAGGAGCUGACCAGGGUUUAGUUGGUGCGAUGGUAACGAAUCUCCUACUGACUCUGAGAUAAUGCCCAAGUUUACGUUAUGGCAGAGCUACUUUAAUCGAAUGUGGUCUCAAUUCGGAGGGUAGUUGCAGUUUAAGGGGCAUUAACCCUUUACUGAACGUCUGGUCGAUCCCAGCGGUACGAAGGUGACCGACGGCUCUGCUUGACCAUCUUGUCUUCAAGAUUGCAGAGCCUGAUGUUGCUCUUGCUCUACUUGAGGGAACGUGGGAAGCUGAAGCUUGAGCAGUAGCUGCAACGUGAGGUGGAGCAGCAGCAGCAGAGGCAGUCAAACAAGCUGCAAAAGACUCUCUGUAGUCUGGCUGACAAGGGAUUGAUAGAUCUAUCUGGUUUGCCACCCACUUCAGUGAAGGUACAUAUUACUACUUUACUCAUGCUUUCGGUGUGCUUUAGAGUCAUACAAUUUGUUCAGGAACUAAAUGCUUGCUGUUGGUUAUAGGUAAUGAUUUACACUUCACGCCAUCUGCAAUGAAAUCCCAAGACAAAGAGUUAUCAUUCUUUUUGCUAAACUUGUGUGCAGUUGAACAUUGAAAUAGUUCCUAUCAAUUCCAGUUAAUCUCCAAUUUGGGGGACAUUCUUUUUUGUGAAAUGUGGUUAACAUUCGAGUGUUAUUAAAACAUCCUCUGAAUUCUU
Non-coding RNA from Physcomitrium patens, 5334 nucleotides. NCBI's taxonomy places the organism in Eukaryota, Viridiplantae, Streptophyta, Bryopsida, Funariales, Funariaceae. The record is from RefSeq and is a predicted model, not a curated record.